GCUUUGUUUACAUGUAAAAUAGAAAUAUAAAUAAAAUAUUAAUACACUACAAGUUUUCAUUUAUAUUUUAAACGCAGGAGUUUUCAUUGGCUAUUUGUUUGCAUAAGAAAAUAAAGCCUUUAAGUUUGAACCAGUUAUACGGAGCUGCUAGGAGAAAAAGAGCGAUGGUUCGGAAAGAAAAUGAGAAGGAAAAUAAACUAAAAACUUUUAGAUUGCGUUUGUUGAACAAAAAAUGAAGAUAAGCACAAUCUGUUCGAUAACAUAGAGAUAUAAAUGGUUGCAAAGAGUCACAAAACAUCUGGGAGUCUUCAAGACAUUGAAGAUUCUCAGAAAAAUCAGUUAUAAUUUCAAGUUGUCUGUCACAAAAAGUAUAUUAAAAUAAUCUUGAUACACCAACUAGACCAAUUUUUAAUAAUCUAACUUGUGGAAAUCAAUAUCAGAAACUGAUAUUGAUUUCCACAAGAAAUCAAUAUCAGUUUCUUUAUUGAACGACAAUAAUUUUAAUUGGAAUCUCCUCAAAUCCUAAAAGGUUUUUUAAAAAACCAAAUAGAAUGCAAAUUUGAAUUCAGCUUGUUAUCUUAUGAUGGAGGUUAUAUCUUAUAUAAUUGAUACAGCUUGUUAUCUUAUGAUGGAGGUUACAUGGAAAUUAUAGAAAGUUUUCAGAUCGCAAGAUUUAACACAUUUAAACAGUUUUUAAGUCAUUAAAAGCGAUAUUACUUAUCCUGGAUGUCACAAAUUAAUUAAGUUUUUUAAAUACUCGUUUAAAUACAGUUUUUUAAAGCGAUAUUACUUAUCCUGGAUGUCACAAAUUAAUGAUUCAAGAAAUGUUAUUUAAGAAGUUCGAAAAUCAAUAUACUUUACCAUCAUUACAGACGGCACUCCCGGUUCAUCUUACAGCAAACAAUUUUUUUUUUAUAUAUUGCGGCAUUAAUUAGCUAUGGGAGGUCUGGGAAAGUUUCCUUGAGCUAGAAGACCUCGAAAAGAAGAAGAGGGCUGAUAUUGUAAAAUAAAUAUCGAAUGUGUUAGAAAAGAAUGACCUUGAUGUUAAAAAUAUUCGUGGUCAAAGCUAUGAUAAUGACGCUAUCUACAAUGUAUCUACAAUGUAUCUAAAAUGGAUUUCAAGUUUUGAUUAGACAGAGUAUUCCAAGAAUAAUUUUCUUUCUUUGCUCUGCCCGCAUCCUAUAAAAUUCUAUUUUAGAAAUAUUAUCAUCAUUUUUUUU
Molecule: long non-coding RNA, 1220 nt
Organism: Hydra vulgaris (swiftwater hydra)
Lineage: Eukaryota; Metazoa; Cnidaria; Hydrozoa; Anthoathecata; Hydridae
Source: RefSeq, a predicted model, not a curated record